Molecule: long non-coding RNA, 1231 nt
Organism: Vespa velutina
Lineage: Eukaryota; Metazoa; Arthropoda; Insecta; Hymenoptera; Vespidae
Exons: 2
Source: RefSeq, a predicted model, not a curated record
AAAAAGAACAGAAAUCAUUAAAACGAAAAACAUUAUUGAAAGUAACAUUCGAUAAAUAUUGAUGGAAGAUAAAUCAUUCAAAAAGAAAAAACAAAACAAAAAAAAGAACAAGAAAAGGAACAACAAAACUAUAAUCUCAUAUCACACAACAGCUGACUAGAUAUUGAAAUGAAAGAGGAAGAGAGAGAGAGAGAGAGAGAGAGAGAGAAAGUGAGAAGAAAAGUGUAUAAGCUAAGAUUGUAAGUUUACAAAUCAUCCCGGAUCUCUUCUUGCUUCACCUACUCUUGCUUACUGUUUAGCUGCAAGGGACAGAAAGAGAUAGACAGAUGGACAGAGUGAAAAAGAAAGAGAGAAAGAGAGAAAGAGAGAGAGAGAGAGAGAGAGAAAGAGAGAGAAGACAAAAAGGAAGAGAAGAGAAAGAGUAGGGAGAGAUGCGGAACCGGAGAGAAAGUGAACCGGAGAAGAAGAAAUAGAGAGUAAAGAAAAGGGAGAGUAAGAGCAGCAGCAGCAGCAGCAGCAGCAGCACAACCGGUGUGUGUUGUUGACCACUGCCUGGUAGGAUUCAGAAAAUGAAGAGCAGAACGAGAUCUCCAGGAAAAUGGAAGCAAAACAGGAAGAAACUGAAGGAAGAGUAAGAGGAUGAGGUGGAAGUGGAAGAGAAGGUGGAGAUGGAGGAAUAGUAGUAGGAGUAGGAGGAGUAGGCCAUCGAAUAGAGAUACACACCAACGGUGAAUAUAAACAUAGUGAACAACGACUUUACCUUCGGGCUUCUUCUCUCUAACAUCAGAGAAAGGGGUUAUAUCUUCGAUCCUUCCUUGUAUUUCAAUCGAUAUAUGCACGAUAAUAUCCUUUAUUCAGUAACUUUAUUACAUCCUUCUUUUAUAUAUCCUUUUUUGUUUACUCUUGCUUACCACUUUUAUGUAGCUCAAGAUUUUAAGAAAUCAGAUACUCCAAUAUAUAAUUUCUUUAACAACGUACAAUAACGCGCGAGUUCUAGUUUGUUUGUUUGUUAAGUUGUUUAUUUGUUUGUUUGUAGGUAAUACCAAAGGCGAUUUCCUUAUCCUUAUUAUUAUUAUUAUUAUUAUUAUUAUUAUUAUUAUUGUUAUUAUUAUCACUGUUGUUAUCAUUAUCAUCAUCAUCAUCAUCAUCAUCAUCAUCAUCAUUAUUAUUAUUCUCGAAGAAAAUAGAUGUAAUUUAAAUGUCUCGCUGAAAUAAAUAGUUAAUCAUCGGA